CCAGUCUUAUUUCAUGCAAUGUUUGCCUCACUCGUUCAGGUGGAGGAGGGACUCCGGGGCGAGUCCGGAAAGAGGUGACCAGUUUGAGCGGUAAGGGACAGAACUGCUACAGGGCUUUUGUCCUUGAUGGAGUGUGGAAGCCAUUCAGUUGGGGGACUGUGGUCAGGAGACGGCACUUAUAAACAGACUGACCAGCGGUUCCAGAGUCUUCCUGUCCAGAGAGGAGAGCCAGCACUUCAUCAAAGAGCACAUGAUACAUUAUGAGACCUGUGCAUGAUUUUGGCAUCAUUGUAGCCAAAUACUGAUAUGUUCCACCCUCAACUGUGAGGUGGUCGUUGAACUUUUGUCUCGCAAACUCCAGGACCACACACAAAUCAUCCAGAUGAGGGCGUUGUGUGCUCUGGCCUGUCUGAUUUCUUCAGAUUUCCUGUCUCUAGGCCAUAUUUACAAUAUCUCUCAUAAACACCUCAAACAACUUAGUGAAGAAACCGCAGGCCAUGUUGCCAACAAGGCAACCUAGCUCUUAAGGCAGUUUGAGGCCGUGGUUUGUUGUGUCACAAAUUCCAAAUGUGACUGUUCCGGUUGUCCAACCUCUGCCAGCUCUCCGCUUUCAGAUCAGCCCUCUGAAUCUAUAACCGUCCCCUUUGUUCCGGGACAGUUAGGAGACAAUGCAACCUUUGUUAUCCCAUCAGAGGAGACCCUUUCUACACAACACCUACAGGGUAACAGCACUACACCUGGGUCUCAUAUGAAAAGAGAAAAAGAAAAGGGGAAGUACAGGAACACGGAAACCUCUAAGAUCUCAGAACCACCCAGACUGUCACUCUUCAGUGGAAUGGAGUUAGUCAACAGAAGCAAACCUGUAUGUUUGGUUGAGCCUGUUCCUGUCGAGUCAGAUGCCCAGAUAAGUGUAGAAGCCACUACAGGCACAGACUGUGUAAUUGAGAAAAGCUGUGAGAGAACUGCAGGCUCACACACAUCUAGUGAGCAAGUGUCUGUAUUCUCCUUCCUCAAUCUCUGAUGCCAACAUUCAUUUACGGUUAUGUGCUGAUUUGGGGGAAAAUAACUUUUUUCUUCUAAUAAUGAUAUAAUAAUUGCUGCAACUGACCAUGUUUACAUGCACAUGAAAAUGUUAGUCUUCGGUAACCUGAAUACCUGAUUAAAGCGAUAUUCUGACUUAUGCUUGCGUUAAUCGUAAUUUUGAGUCACGUAAACAACUUAUUAGGAAGAUCAACUGUUUGUUUAUAUCUGUGCAUGUCUAGAUGUGUGUAGUUAUGAGUGAACAAUGCUGGAGCAAAUGGGAGCCUGUUUUUUUUUUAAAUGUCGUGACCUGUCC
Molecule: long non-coding RNA, 1336 nt
Organism: Cyprinus carpio carpio
Lineage: Eukaryota; Metazoa; Chordata; Actinopteri; Cypriniformes; Cyprinidae
Source: Ensembl